Molecule: ribosomal RNA, 456 nt
Filed under: Papiliolebias bitteri
Lineage: Eukaryota; Metazoa; Chordata; Actinopteri; Cyprinodontiformes; Rivulidae
Description: partial 16S ribosomal RNA
Rfam family: Bacterial large subunit ribosomal RNA
Source: RNAcentral
AACGGCCGCGGUAUAUUAACCACGCAAAGGUAGCAAGAUCACUCGUCUUUUAAAAGAAGACCUGCAUGAAUGGCAUAACGAAAGUUUAGCUGUCUCAUUUUCCUAACCCAUAAAAUUGAAUUUUCCGUGCAGAUGCGGGAAUAAGAACAUAAGACGAAAAGACCCUGUGAAACUUUAGGAGUUACAGCCCUAAUUUAAAAUAAUAACUAUAUUAGAUCCUGUGUUCAACUUCUUUGGUUGGGGCGACCGCGGAGAAAAAUGAAACCUCCAUGAAAAAGACAUUAACUUUUUAAAGGAAGUUCACAACUUCCUUUUUAAACACAUCUACAUGAUGAUCCGGCCCACCAAGGCCGAUUAACGAAAAGAGCUACUCCAGGGAUAACAGCGCAAUUUCCUUUUAGAGCCACAUCAGCAAGUGAAGCUUACGACCUCGAUGUUGGAUCAGGACAUCCUAAU